UUUGGUUCUUUUGCCUUCUCUUUGAUCUUAUCUCUUACGAUUGUGCAGAUCUCAAUC
RNAcentral lists this small RNA (57 nucleotides) under Arabidopsis thaliana (thale cress). RNAcentral describes it as "ATSL290400". The record is from RNAcentral. Lineage: Eukaryota; Viridiplantae; Streptophyta; Magnoliopsida; Brassicales; Brassicaceae.